Molecule: ribosomal RNA, 494 nt
Filed under: uncultured bacterium
Lineage: Bacteria
Description: partial 16S ribosomal RNA
Rfam family: Bacterial small subunit ribosomal RNA
Source: RNAcentral
GACGAACGCUGGCGGCGUGCUUUAGGCAUGCAAGUCGAACGCGAAAGCCCCUUCGGGGGUGAGUAGAGUGGCGAACGGGUGAGUAACACGUGGGUAACCUGCCCCUCGCAGGGGGAUAACCGGGGGAAACCCCGGCUAAUACCCCGUACGCUUGCUGGGGCGCAUGCUCCGGCAAGGAAAGGUAGCUUCGGCCAUCCGGCGAGGGAGGGGCCCGCGGCCCAUUAGCUAGUUGGUGGGGUAACGGCCCACCAAGGCGACGAUGGGUAGCUGGCCUGGGAGGGUGGUCAGCCACACUGGGACUGAGACACGGCCCAGACUCCUACGGGAGGCAGCAGCCAGGAAUCUUGCGCAAUGGGCGAAAGCCUGACGCAGCAACGCCGCGUGGGCGAUGAAGGCCUUCGGGUCGUAAAGCCCUGUUGUCGGGGACGAAGGGCGAAGGGUUAAUAGCCCCUAGCCUGACGGUACCCGACGAGGAAGCCCCGGCUAACUACGUG